CCACUUCUUCUUCCCUCGCCGUACAAACUACUUUCUCUCCCCACUUUAAUACCCAAUCGUCUUUCUCUCUCUAAAACUUAGUUUUUUCUUCUUCCAAUUUUCCGUCCUAAUCCCCAAAACCCUGUGUAUUUGUGAAUUCAUAUAUGAUAAGCGUUGUGUUAAGUAAUUGAAAAUUUAAUUUCUUCGUUUAGGAAUAGGUUCUAAUUCAAUGGACGCCGGAGGAGGUUCUCCGGCACCGGAAAUAACACCGGCGCCGAUGCCUAGCUCAAAUGCGAUACCACCUUUUUUGAUGAAGACUUAUGAUAUGGUUGAUGACCCGAGUACUGACAAGAUUGUUUCGUGGAGUCCUACCGAUAGUAGCUUUGUGAUUUGGGAUCCACCGGAGUUCGCCAAGCAGUUACUGCCCAAGUAUUUUAAGCAUAGUAACUUCUCCAGCUUCGUUCGUCAGUUGAACACUUAUGGCUUUAGAAAGGUUGGUUCGGACCUCUGGAAAUUUUCUAAUGAUGGAUUCAUAAGAGGUCAAAAGCAUCUGCUUAAAAAUAUUAGCAGGCGCAAGCCUGCUCAUGGACAGCAGCAGCAGCAGCAGCAGCAGCAGCAGCAGCUGCAUGGUCAGAGUGCUUCAGUUGGGGCUUGUGUCGAGGUUGGAAAUUUUGGGCUUGAGAAAGAGGUUGAGUGGCUGAAAAGGGACAAGAAUGUGCUUAUGCAAGAGCUGGUUAAGCUGAGACAACACCAGCAGACUACUGAUGAUCAGAUGCAAAACAUGGUGCAGAACCUUCAGAUUAUGGAGCAGCGGCAGCAACAGAUGAUGUCUUUCCUGGCAAAAGCUGUUAACAGCCCUGGAUUCUUCGCACAGUUUGUACAGCAGCAAAAUGACAACAAUAAGCGCAAGAUGGAAGGAAAGAAGAAACGCAGGAUUAGACAAGAUUUUCCUUCAGAUGAUCAUUCUGUUAGCCCUGCUGAUGGACAGCUUGUGAAGUACCAACCUAUAAUGAAUGAGACAGCGAAAGGAAUGCUCACACAGAUAACAAAACUAGAUUCUUCUCCUAGGUUAGAGAACUUCAGCAACAGUCCUGAAAGUCCACCGAUUGGUGAUGCAUUUGAUGGCAGAAGUAACAGUCGAAUUUCAGGAGUCACUCUUCAGGAAGUUUCACCUGCUUUUUCGCAGCCAUUUGCUAGUACAACUUCAGCUAUUGCAGGACAAAGUUCAUUGUCUGCCAACAUUCAGUUUUCAGAGAGCAGUUCCCCGAUUGGAGCUCAAGAUUUGCCACCUAUUGUACCGUUUUCAUCAGAUAUGAUUAUGCCUAUGCCCUCACAGUUACAAGAAAUUGUGCCUGAAAACAAUAUGGAUAUUAAUGGAACAGAGAGGGGCAAUGAUUCUUUCAUGGAUCCGACAUUGUGGGGAAAUGGAGAACUGCCAUUGGAAAAUGAUAUUUUCCCCCCCGACCUUCAAAUCAAGUGGGAAAGUGCUUUGGUUGACGAUAUUGGAGAGCCUCCUAGUGUGGGUGAUCCCUCCUGGGAAAAGUUUCUUCAAAGCCUAUACCCUCCUACUGAGACAGAGGAGAUGGGUUCGGUUGAAACAGAAAAUGAUAAGACUACUGAAACAGAGCUGCUAGGAAAUGGAUGGUACAAUGUUCAGCAUAUGGAACAUCUUACUGAGCAAAUGGGGCUACUAACAUCAAACACUAAAAAAGUAUGAUCAGUCACCGAGAAGAUGUACCUGAGGUAAUCCAGAAAUCUCAUCUCUUAGUGUAUUGGGUCACGGGAAACUUCCCAUAAGAUAGUAGCUCUAAUACCGAUUUUCACCUUUGUCACUGGAUUUCUUUUCAUAUAUGGAAAAGCUUCAUGAUUCAUCUGGAUGAGUCUUAUGGAGUUCACCUCCAUUUUUUUGUUUCUUCCUUGCAUAAGCUGAAUCGGUCCACCAUGAUAAAUGCCUAAAUCUAUGUCGGACACUUCCUUUCCCCCUUUUUAAUUUCUCCCUGUAUAAGCUCUCUGGUCAUUUAAUUUCAUAAGUACGUAGAAGUUACAAAACUUUUGAUGUUGUUAUUAGGAAGAUGCCUUAACCCUUUGUUAAACUAGUCUGUUAGCAAGUAAUUUAGUACUAGUAGUUAAUUAGAUUCUCAGUCUUCAGUACAAUUGAGAACCUUUCUCAAGGCGGCAAUUGGAAAAGGUCUGCCAUUGUGGGAGAGAGAACUUAUCCUGCAUGUACCAAGUCAAUGCAAGAUUGAGAUCCGUAGCUUGCUGGGGGUCUCUCACUGCAGAUUUUAAGAGAAACAACUUGGUUUUAGUUAUCCAUUUUCAUGCUCGUGUGUUCGGCAAAGCUCUGGACAUUUCCCAAAAACUAUUUUCUGAAAAAUGACUCAUCUUUUGAAAGAUAUCUUCAGGUAUCGAGUCGGAGACCAGAAACUACUUUUCAAGUAAAAAUAUUAUAGAAGAUUUCUUUUUUUUUGAGAUGGUAUAUAUAUUAAGAUAACUAUGAUGUUGCAAACAGGAAGUGUUGAAACUUUUUAGUAUUAAAGAAUGAUUGCAAUGUAUGUUGGUUGGAGCACUAAGAGUAAGGGUAGUCAUUUUCUCCCUUUGGGUGGAAGAUGUUUUCCUUGAAAAUAUUUCUUGUAACCCAACCCCAGAAAAUGACUUUCGAAAUUUCUAUUGUGUCUGGUUUUCUCUUUUCAACUUUCCUUUAGGCUUCUUUUCGUCUAAUUUCGUCAGUAAGUUCUAUUUUAGCAUG
Solanum pennellii is the source of this 2725-nucleotide RNA transcript. It is a transcript of the gene named heat shock factor protein HSF8-like, with no coding region annotated. Lineage: Eukaryota; Viridiplantae; Streptophyta; Magnoliopsida; Solanales; Solanaceae. The transcript has 2 exons. The record is from RefSeq and is a predicted model, not a curated record.